Molecule: ribosomal RNA, 133 nt
Filed under: Carlito syrichta (Philippine tarsier)
Lineage: Eukaryota; Metazoa; Chordata; Mammalia; Primates; Tarsiidae
Source: RNAcentral
ACCUACAGCCAAACCACCCUGAACGCGCAUGAUUUCAUCCAAUCUUGGAAGCUAAGCAGGGUCUAGCCUGGUUAGUACUUGGAUAGGAGAAAAUACAACCUAUCAAACUUGGCAUGAUGAGAAACAGAAACUC